UACAGAGGUCCCAAGCGUUGUUCGGAUUCACUGGGCGUAAAGGGUGCGUAGGCGGUCGGGUAAGUCUGACGUGAAAUCUUCAAGCUCAACUUGGAAACUGCGUCCGAUACUAUUCGGCUAGAGGAAUGGAGGGGAGACUGGAAUACUUGGUGUAGCAGUGAAAUGCGUAGAUAUCAAGUGGAACACCAGUGGCGAAGGCGAGUCUCUGGACAUCUCCUGACGCUGAGGCACGAAAGCCAGGGGAGCAAACGGG
This 253-nucleotide ribosomal RNA is filed under the name uncultured bacterium. Its description in RNAcentral is "partial 16S ribosomal RNA". It matches the Rfam family "Bacterial small subunit ribosomal RNA", at positions 524 to 776 of the family's 1533-position model. The record is from RNAcentral.